UCUCCGUAGGUGAACCUGCGGAGGGAUCAUUACAGAGUUCAUGCCCUACCGGGUAGAUCUCCCACCCUAUGUUAUUAUUACUUUGUUGCUUUGGCGGGCCGUUAGGCUCCGGCCCGACUACCGGCCCCGGCUGGUAAGCGCCCGCCAGAGGACCCAAACCCUGAAUAUUAGUGUCGUCUGAGUACUAUAUAAUAGUUAAGACUUUCAACAACGGAUCUCUUGGUUCUG
This 228-nucleotide unclassified non-coding RNA is filed under the name plant metagenome. RNAcentral describes it as "partial contains small subunit ribosomal RNA, internal transcribed spacer 1, and 5.8S ribosomal RNA". The record is from RNAcentral.